CCUACGGGAGGCAGCAGUGGGGAAUAUUGGGCAAUGGAGGCAACUCUGACCCAGCAACGCCGCGUGAGUGAUGAAGGUCCUCGGAUUGUAAAACUCUUUAAGUGGGGACGAAGAAAGUGACUGUACCCACAGAAUAAGCCUCGGCUAACUACGUGCCAGCAGCCGCGGUAAUACGUAGGAGGCAAGCGUUAUCCGGAUUUAUUGGGUUUAAAGGGUGCGUAGGGGGAAUGCCAAGUCAGGGGUAAAAUCGCGGGGCUCAACCUCGCUCCGCCGUUGAAACUGGCGUUCUGGAGGGGGCGAGAAAUAUGCGGAAUGCGGGGUGUAGCGGUGAAAUGCAUAGAUAUCACGCAGAACUCCGAUUGCGAAGGCAGCAUACCGGCGCCCAACUGACGCUGAAGCACGAAAGCGUGGGUAUCGAACAGGAUUAGAUACCCAGUAGUC
RNAcentral lists this ribosomal RNA (441 nucleotides) under uncultured bacterium. Its description in RNAcentral is "partial 16S ribosomal RNA". It matches the Rfam family "Bacterial small subunit ribosomal RNA", at positions 338 to 795 of the family's 1533-position model. The record is from RNAcentral.